ACAACAUUCGGACCGUCUACCGAGCAAUAUCACCCGGUCAAUGGAAGACCUUCCCUCUGUCGU
RNAcentral lists this microRNA precursor (63 nucleotides) under Bombyx mori (domestic silkworm). RNAcentral's name for it is "mir-2774 microRNA precursor family". It matches the Rfam family "mir-2774 microRNA precursor family". The record is from Rfam by way of RNAcentral. Lineage: Eukaryota; Metazoa; Arthropoda; Insecta; Lepidoptera; Bombycidae.